This 797-nucleotide long non-coding RNA is filed under the name Brassica rapa (field mustard). RNAcentral's name for it is "long non-coding RNA (BRAP_LNC003443)". Lineage: Eukaryota; Viridiplantae; Streptophyta; Magnoliopsida; Brassicales; Brassicaceae. The record is from RNAcentral.
UGAACACACGAGUAUUACGCUCUUUCCACAACAUGUAGAUGGCUGACUGAAAGUAGAGCUUGAUUACUGGAGUAGCAUGCGCAUCUGCGUUGAAUAGAGUUCUCCAUUGCUUAUAGCAGUGUAAUAAACUCCGUGUGUAAAGGAGAAAAAAUAUUAUAUAAGUGAAAACAAAAAUUAUGAUUUUUUUUCUUGUGCCAAUAGGCUCUUUGCAAUUAGAAGAAGAAAGAACAUAUUGUGUGAAAAUCUUUGGAUCGGUCAAAUUUUAUCCAGUUGUUUAUAAAACUGUUGUUAUCUAAUCAUGUAAUUUUUCAGUGUUGAUUUAAAAGCUCAAAAAACCCAUCUAUACUGACUUUUUGAUAUUUUUUUCUGUGAUUUGAAUUUAAAAAGAGAUAAAACUUUCGAUAAGUUAUGUAAACUCAGAACAAGUAUUUAGCUUUAGAAAGUAUUUACAUGUUUCAAACUUAUAAUAUAUACAUAUAUAAUGUUUAAAACUAUGCAUAUAAAACCUGUGUAAAAUGUGCAUGAAUAUGUUUCUCUUCUUUAAUGUGUUAAUCGUACUAUAUAUAACAUUAUUUUAAAAUUUCAAAAAGUUUAUACAAAGAACCAUCAAUAAAAAAUAUAAUUCUCCAUCUACAACAAGAAAAAUGAAAAAUUAUAAACAAAUAAAUUUAAAUUAAGAAAAACUAACAUUAGAAAAACAAGAAGUUAAUGUAAAAGAAAAAAACCGACAAAUAAUAUUAUAAAUAAAAUAAAUUUAUAAGACACAAUCCGCACGAAGCGCGAAAAAAAUCUCUAGU